GAAACUGCGAAUGGCUCAUUAGAACAGUUAUAGUUUAUGUGAUAUAUUAAAUGGAUAACUGUAGGAAACUAGAGCUAAUACAUGCCAAGGCCGACAGGCUGCAUUUAUUAGAUAUACCAAGAAGGUGAAUCAUAAUAACUUUGCAAAUCGAAACUACGUUUCGAUACAUCAUUUAAGUUUCUGACCUAUCAUGCUCUCGAUGGUAGUGUAUUGGACUACCAUGGCAGUCACGGGUAACGGAGAAUUAGGGUUCGAUUCCGGAGAAGGAGCCUGAGAAACGGCUACUACAUCUAAGGAAGGCAGCAGGCGCGUAAAUUACCCAAUCCUAAAUCAGGGAGGUAGUGACAAGAUAUAACAACGCGAUUAAAUGUCGCGAUUGUAGUGAGGGUGUUCUAAAAAUAGCUUCGAGUACGAUUGGAGGGUAAGUCUGGUGCCAGCAGCCGCGGUAAUUCCAGCUCCAAUAGCGUAUAUUAAAGUUGUUGCAGUUAAAAAGCUCGUAGUUGGACUUCAUAAGAUGUAAAUGGGAUAACCAUUUGCUCUUUACCAGUCUUUGACUGUUACUGUGAGAAAAUUAGAGUGUUUCAAGCAGGCAAUUGCAGGAAUACAUUAGCAUGGAAUAACGAAUGUAUCUACAAUUUGGUUGAUUGUAGAAUACGAUUAAUAGGGACAGUUGGGGGCAUUAGUAUUUAAUUGUCAGAGGUGAAAUUCUUGGAUUAGUUAAAGACUAACGUAUGCGAAAGCAUUUGCCAAGGAUGUUUUCAUUAAUCAAGAACGAAAGAUAGGGGAUCAAAGACGAUCAGAUACCGUCGUAGUCCUAUCUAUAAACUAUGCCGACUAGGGAUUGGAAUGAUCUGCAUCAUUUUCAGUACCUUAUGAGAAAUCAAAGUCCUUGGGUUCUGGGGGGAGUAUGGUCGCAAGGCUGAAACUUAAAGGAAUUGACGGUUUUGCACCACCAUGGAGUGGAGCCUGCGGCUUAAUUUGACUCAACACUGGGAAACUCAUCAGGGCAAGAAGAUUUUAGGAUUGACAGAUUGAGAGUUCUUUCUUGAUUGGUCUAGUGGUGGUGCAUGGCCGUUCUUAGUUGGUGGAGUGAUUUGUCUGGUUAAUUCCGUUAACGAACGAGACCUUAACCUGCUAACUAGUACACUGAUUUCCAAUCGGUGUUACUUCUUAGAGGGACUAUGUGAUGUAAUCACAUGGAAGUUUGAGGCAAUAACAGGUCUGUGAUGCCCUUAGAUGUCCUGAGCUGCACGCGCGCUACAAUGACACAUUCAACGAGUAUUUCCUGACCCGAAAGGGCUCGGGUAAUCUUUUUAGUGUGUGUCGUGAUAGGGAUAGAUCUUUGUAAUUAUGGAUCUUGAACGAGGAAUUCCUAGUAAGCGCAUGUCAUCAGCAUGUGCUGAUUACGUCCCUGCAAAAUGUACACACCGCCCGUCGCUAUUACCGAUUGGGUGUAUAGGUGAACCUUCUCGAUAGUCGCAAGACUAGAAAUUAAGUAAACCUUUGCACCUAGAGGAAAUAAAAGUCGUAACAAGGUUUCCGUAGGUGAACCUGCAGA
Molecule: ribosomal RNA, 1558 nt
Filed under: uncultured eukaryote
Lineage: Eukaryota
Description: SSU rRNA
Rfam family: Eukaryotic small subunit ribosomal RNA
Source: RNAcentral